GCUUAGUUAUUGCAGUUGAAUUUAUAAUCAAAUUUCAUUUUGCCUCUAGAAAUAAUACACAAGUUGCAGGCAUAAAUAUCAUAUGAGUGGUUUGCAAAUUGAACAACAACAGAUUGAAUGUAUGCCUCAAAUAAAAUGGAACUCCUUAAAUUAAUGAGAUAAGUCGGACACUAAAUCGAAGAAUUUAAAAUGUUAAAUUGCAAAAGCAUGGCAACCAUUAAGCACUCCAAUAUAAUCUCAUGCUCUUUGGGGAGAAGUUGUCAUCAGCGUCAAACGUUACCCCAGCCAACAAUUACCAAUUAAAACCCCAAAGCGCGCAACUCAAUUUCGUGCAACACAUACACACACACACGCACAAACAUAUGUACAUGCACAUAUUCGUAUAGUACGGUACUCUUAUACAUAUAUAGCGCAUAGACAAAGGCAAUUUCAUAUAGUAUUUCCAGAUAACUGACUUCGAUAGCAAACCGCAACAGCAAGAAUGACAAAAGAACAAGACAAGAAUAACAAGAAAAACAACAGACACAACAACGAGAAUGGCAACAAUGGCCACUGUGAAAACUGUGAAGAGACAAAAAGGACCCGAGCCAAGUUUUGUGGAUUCGCUCAGCGCAGCUCAACGCUCUUUCAACUAAAAACUUGUUACGUAUUUAAUUGCAAUUAAAAAGUU
Drosophila nasuta is the source of this 670-nucleotide long non-coding RNA. RefSeq lists it as uncharacterized. NCBI's taxonomy places the organism in Eukaryota, Metazoa, Arthropoda, Insecta, Diptera, Drosophilidae. The record is from RefSeq and is a predicted model, not a curated record. The transcript has 3 exons.